ACCGAAUAAUUUGGACUACACGAACAUAAGGCGCACGUUGGUUGAGAUUGAUGGAGUUGAAAGUGUUCAUUCGCUACAUAUCUGGUCACUGACGGUAGGGGUCAACGCAAUAGCCGUGCAUCUCACACUGGCUAACUUAUACGAAGGGAAGCCAGUAGAUGGACAAGAUAUUCUUAGCAGAGCUCAAAAACUCCUGAAAGUAAGAUUCAAUUUGCACGUAUCAACGAUACAGGUUGAAACAUACGAGGCACGCGAUUGGUGCUCCUACCGCUCGGACGUGUGUGACUUUGCUGAUAGUUAAACCAUGGAGGAAUAAGUCUAAACUCAUUGUGGUUCAUUUGAUGGUAUCCUGUAAAUAAUAAAUCUAUUUAUUUAAAAUCGUUAAAUUUCCAGAAUCUUAACGAGAAUUGUAAUCAGCUGUACUCAAUAUGGAAUUAUUGUAUAGGCCUACAUUGUGCACUAGGUGCACGCGAAACGCGAAUUUGCCUUUCGUAUUUUUCAUUAUUAAGCUUGUGUAAGUGAGUCGAAUUGACAGCAGUAAUAUAGGCCUGAGGUCUAAUGUAACGUAAUGUAAAGAAUGUAUGCAAUUUAAAGAUAUGCACAUAGCCAUCAUAUAGCCUAAAAAUUAAGAGAUGUGUUAUUAUAUUAUUAUUAUUAUUAUUAUUAUUAUUAUUAUUAUUAUUAUUAUUAUUAUUAUUAUUAGUAGUAGUAGUAGUAGUAGUAGUAGUAGUAGUAGUAGUAGUACUUUUUACUAUUUGUUAUUAUUAUUAUUAUUAUUAUUAUUAUUAUUAUUAUUAUUAUUACAAUCAUUAUUGUAGUCAUAAUAAUAACAUUAAUGUUAUUGUUGGUUUUUUUUCUCUUUUAUGUCAACCUCAUCCCUCACUUCACCAUCACCCUGCUCGAUGCAAUGCAUUCCAAUAUUCACUCUUUCAUCAUCUAAUCAUCUGGAACAGACUUCCAAUUGCUACACGCUUAUCCUCAUCCGUCUCUUGUUUUCUCUGCUCUCGACCACCUGCGUUAAGCUACUUGCAUCUUGUAUUUACUUAUUUGCUUAUUUAGGCCUAUGUCUUGUUUAUGUAUAUACUUAUUCUUUUUUAUGUAGUUAUUUAUUUAUUUUUUAUUUAUUUAUUUUUCUUUUCUUUAUUUAUUUUUAUUGUUGGUAAUUAUUGUAUUAUCUUAAGUAUAACGUUGGCCUACUGAUUUUUUUUUCUAAAAAUAUUGAAUUGUUAUUCUGAUAGGUAUCUUGAUAGAUAGAUCAUUCCAUUUGUUACCUAUUUCUUAUUUGAGUUAAAUAAAAUUAUGAAUUAUUAAGUAAGUAGAGAGGGUGUGAGCCCUUAGAAGAAAAAUACAAAAACUGUACUGAUAAAACACUUCUUUAUUAAAAAAUUUAAUUAGACAUGUUGUUUAUGAUUUUAACAAACUAAUGAACUUAUCUUCGGAAGGAAAUUUGUGAUGCAUUGUUUCAGUUCAACGUAGCAAGGAAAUACUAAAGUAAAAAAAUAUUCGUUCCCAA
Anneissia japonica is the source of this 1513-nucleotide long non-coding RNA. RefSeq lists it as uncharacterized. The transcript is spliced from 2 exons. Lineage: Eukaryota; Metazoa; Echinodermata; Crinoidea; Comatulida; Comatulidae. The record is from RefSeq and is a predicted model, not a curated record.